GAUGGUUUAUAAUGAUGGUUGCAGUGACAAUGAUUGAUGUUAAUAAUUAGUAAUAUUGGUGGUGAUAGUUUUGACGGUUGGUAUUGUAGUGAUUGUUAUGAUGGUGGCGGUUGAUAGUAGUGGUGGUGGUGGUGAUGUGACGUUGCUUGAUGUUAGUAGUUGGAGGUGUUGAUUGUGAUGGCUGAAAAAGGAAUGUAUGAUGGUUUGACAAUGUGUUGGUGCUAGUUGGAGAUGUUGUUAAUUGUGAUGGUGGAGAUGGUUGUUAGUAAAGAUGGUUGAAGUGAUAGUAGAAGUGAUGUUACUAGUGACAAUUGUGGUGGCGGCCAAAGAAUGUGUGGAGGUUAUGAUGUAUUAGUGGUAUUUAGCGGUGGUGCUAAUUGUGAUAAAUGAGUUGGUCGAUAGUAGAGAUUGACCGAUAAUGGUUGAUGAUGGUGGUGCUGUUGACGGCGGUGGUGGCGGUAAAUAUAAGUAGAGUAAUAGAGGUAGUAGGUGUGGUAGCGGUUGAUAAUAGUGGUUGGUAGUGAUAUUAGUUGUCGAUAGUGGUUGUGAUGGUGGAGGUGGUUAGUAGUGGUGGUGGUGGUUAACAAUAGUGGCGGUGGCAGAGUUGGUUAGUGAUGGUGAUUGAUGAUUAUGAAUAAAGUGAUGGUGAAUAUUAUCCAACACCAAAAUUCCUCUUCAGACCUGUUAAGACUUGAUUCU
RNAcentral lists this long non-coding RNA (699 nucleotides) under Capsicum annuum. Its description in RNAcentral is "long non-coding RNA (CANN_LNC015259)". The record is from RNAcentral. Lineage: Eukaryota; Viridiplantae; Streptophyta; Magnoliopsida; Solanales; Solanaceae.